GACGAACCGUACAAACGUUAUUCGGAAUCACUGGGCUUAAAGGGUGCGUAGGCGGCGGCGUAAGUUGGGUGUGAAAUCCCUCGGCUCAACCGAGGAACUGCGCUCAAAACUGCGUUGCUUGAGAGAGAUAGAGGUGAGUGGAACUUAGGGUGGAGCGGUGAAAUGCGUUGAUAUCCUAAGGAACACCAGUGGCGAAAGCGACUCACUGGGUCUCUUCUGACGCUGAGGCACGAAAGCUAGGGUAGCGAACGGG
This 253-nucleotide ribosomal RNA is filed under the name uncultured bacterium. Its description in RNAcentral is "partial 16S ribosomal RNA". It matches the Rfam family "Bacterial small subunit ribosomal RNA", at positions 524 to 776 of the family's 1533-position model. The record is from RNAcentral.